Molecule: long non-coding RNA, 3782 nt
Organism: Gorilla gorilla gorilla (western lowland gorilla)
Lineage: Eukaryota; Metazoa; Chordata; Mammalia; Primates; Hominidae
Exons: 7
Source: RefSeq, a predicted model, not a curated record
GGCAGUGAAGGAAUAAAGCUGUUCUUUGCUGCCUUGCAGGCCGGGCCCUCUUCUCACCUUGACGUGGCUCCAAUGCAGGCGCCUUGGCAGGCCUGAGACAGCUACACUGAGUCCUCUGGAACCAGCGGUGGGGCCCUGUGCGGUCAGCGAGCCAGGAUCCCCAGCACCACCCAGCACCCACAGCCCCUCCUCCAAACCCUCCCCAGCUGCCUCGUUGGCAACUGGAUUCUGCCUGGGGGCAGGGACCAGACCUGCAGGCAUCCUCCCUGACCACGCCACUGCCUCUGGCUUCCUUAUUUGGAGGGCCAAAAAAAGGUUGAACAUUUCCCAAAGGAAUACUGAGGCACAAAGGGAAACCCCAGUCACGGAGAAACCGAGAAAAGGCACCGUGAGAAUAUGGUAUAAAAGAUAAAAAGUGUCCACUUCUAUGGAGCACUUACCAUGAAUGGAGCUUGCAGGACUGGAAGUUGCUCUCGUUCUGGAGCUGGGAAGUUCAAGGCUGAGGAGCUGCAUCUGGUGAGGGUCUUCUUGCUGGUGGCCUUCUUCUGCAGAGUCCUGAGGUGCUGCAGGGGAUCUUGUGGCAGAGUACUGCUGUGACAAACCACCACAAACCGUGUGGCCAACAACACAGAAAUUCAUCCUCUCAUGGCUCUGGGGGCCAGAAGUCCAAUGUCAAGGUGUCAGACCGACCCUCCAGCAGAAGCAGCAAUGAAUACAAGUCCCUGGGUUCCUGCUCUGGCAGCUCCAGCAGUCUAGUGACUGAUGGCUCUGGCCAGUGUUACUUGGGCGUCCUGUUCUUUGUAGUUAAGUAAAUUUCAUCUGGAACAGCUCUACAGGAUGAAUGGAUGAGAAGGUCCCAGGCAGAGUCUGCCUGAGCAGCUCACUACUCUCAUAACUGAAUCCUUGCACCAGGGUUUGUUUUGAGGGAACACAAAUUAAAACACAUGCUUGAUAAGACCUUCAAAUAAGAAACAGAUGGAUGGGUCCCUGAAUGGAAACCUGGAUGGGUAAAACUUCAAUCUCUCCAUGUUAAGUAAUUGAUUAAAUUCUUAUCCCUUGUGGCUAAUAUCCAUUUUGGGUUUUCCUAGAUUCUCUUCUUUUACCUUCUGACUCCACAUUAGAAAGCCACUUGACACUAAUUGUUGACUUCUCAGCUCUUCUGUCUGCUGUUCUGCAAUUGUUCAAAGGUCACUAAUAAAGUCUGGGCUAAUUUAUUAAUAGUUGUAGCUAUUUUUGCUUCUACUAGCUGCUGCUUAGCUCUGUGCAGUCCUGGAAAUUAAGUGACAUUGUUUUCCUUUCCUGCCCAUCAGUAGAAAGCUGGUGCAGAAGGAAAGCAGUUAUGCCGAACAGCGUGGCUUUUUCAGGAAAAGAAAUAAUUCCAGGGAGGCACAACUGAAAUGUCUUUUUUUGGUCAGGAUCCUUUUGGUUGCAAGUGACAGAAAUGCAACUCAAAUAAACAUAAAGGGAAUGUGUUUGUGUUGACUCUAGUAACCACCAGAUUCCAAAGUCAUAGCUGGAUUUAGUGGCUCUGAUGAUAUGGGCUCUCUCUCUCAUCUCAUCUUACCUCUAUUUACCUUCAUUCUGCAUGCAAGCUCUGUUCACGUGGCAGACAAAAUGCCAGGCAUUCGCAGCCCCACGCUCCCAGUGAAUAACCCAGGUGUACAAGCUUCAUUUACGGUCUCUCCCAUAUCAACCUCAGAGUGUUUGAUGUGGUGGAGUUUGGUGUCGUGAUUUUCAAACCCACCAGGACUGUGUCAUGAAUGGGACCUCCCCAGAGGAACCAGCAGAAGAGGAAUAGAAAAGCAGCCUGGAAAGAAAGUUGCUUGGCUGCUAUUAGCCCUGUCAGCUUCCUGCUCAUUGACAGGGAUAGUUCUUGUAUUGCAUUAUCGGAUGCCCCGUAGCUGCCGGCAGCUUUAACCCUCUCAUCCUCUUCCACGGUGUUGGGAUGGGAGACACACGCAUGUUCUUGCUUCCUUUCCAGCCACUCCCUUUCCUAAAUCUAAAUGUAUCUCUGAUUUAGAUGCAGUGGUACAUGCCUGUGAUCCCAGCAACUUGAGAGGCUGAUGCAAGAAGAUUACUGGAGGCUAGGAGUUCAAGACCAGACAGGGCAACAUAGUGAGGCCCCAUCUCUAAAAAAUAAAAAUUACAAUUAAAUGUAUCUCAGGAUGCCCCUGACACAAAGACUUGAGCUUAGGUCAUUUAUUUGAGAGAUGACCCCAGGAUGCACUGGGAGGGAAGAAGUGAGGCCAGGAAGGAAAGAAAAUCAAGAAGGGGGUGUGUUAGUGAGAGAAGGAAAUAGGGCUCAGGUAUCCCUGUGGGCCUUCUAAGACACUGUAUAAAGUUUUAUCAAACCAAACUAUCCCUCAAAACUGUACACAGGAAGGCAAGGACACAAGAGUCCUUUUCACCACCUCCUAGCAGUCCUCCUUGCUUGGAGGCUGCCCCUAGGAGCAGUCUUGCCCUGGUUUCUCUAGCCUGUGUUGAGUGUGAGCUGAACACUCUGGGGUGGGAGGUACUGGGGCAGGGGCAUAGAGAACACCUGAAGAGAUAGAUGCAGGUGCUGGAAAGAGCCCUUGGCAUGGCCUGGACUGCCAACAGCAGCUGUAAGUGACCUCCAGAGUGGACCUGGGCAUGUGGGCUUUGGCUGUCAUCUGCUAUUUAACUGAACGUUGCAACAGCCCAUGAGGUAAGCAUUACUCCAUUUAAGAGCCAAGUAACUGACGCCCAAGCAAUUUCAAAGCUCUGCUACCAGACGUACUUUAACAGUAGAAAGUCUGAUUUUUAAAAAUGACCUAGUUUACAGAGUCCAGGGUUUUAAAAGUUUCUUCCAAAACCUCAACCUGCAUCCUGUUUUCAGAGUUGUUACUACAGUUGCUUAUUAAUCAAGAUUAAUAAAGACCAUGGCAGUUAUUAUCUGAUAGUCACAACUGUUGAGAAUCUUAGGAAAUAGACACAUGGGUGAGAAAUACCAGAGCUUGAUGCUUGAUUGGCAUUAGCCUUAUGGGGCUCAUGAGAUAGUGACCAUGGUGCUUGCAAAGCAUUUCUUGCUGAAAAAGGGAAGCUACAGCUUAAUGCUGGGGCUACUUCAUGCCUGACCAUGACCAGGAUCUGUCAGGCAGUACUCUCUGAAGCCAGUCUCCUAAUUUUUCAGACAUCACAAAUGCAACUUUUUUUUAUAGUUGUGAAAGCCCCCAAAACAUCAAUUCUCACAAAUCAAGGACUGGCUGGGGCCCUGGCUUCUGAUCCUUUGCUCUCCAGGGACCAUGACAAAUUAUUUGGCUUAGAUGUGUGGUGAUGAGGCAAUGGAAUAAACACAACUUUCCAUUUUGCUGCAGAGUAACAUGAAGAAGCCGGUUGACAAGCAACUCUCUGACCAGUUCUGUGGCCUUGGGCAAAUCGCUUAACCUCUCUGGGAUCCAGCUGUUUGUAUGUGAAAUGAAAGUGUUUGGUUAAUCAAGCAGCUAAUCUGGGGCACUUGUGCUGCCACUCCUCUCUCCCUGCCCUCGGCAUAGGGUACUAUUAUGGCACUUUCCCUCCAAGCUAGAUGUUGGCCCCAGAAUCCUCAGCACAGCAAAUCAGGGAAUCAUCACUGAGCACUCAGAGUUGGCAGAUGGGUUUGAAACCUGUCUGCCCUCCCUGGCCUGGAUGAUCUCUAAAGUUCCUUUAAUUCUAACUUGUUGGAUUCUGGGAACAUGUAAACCAGGGGUCUGCAAACUACACCCAAAGGUCAAAGCUGGCCCUCUGCCUGUUUGUGUAAAUAAAGUUUUAUUAGAACACUGCCA